UUGGAGUGGACGCACGUACAGAAGCGAAUGAGGGAGCUGCUGUCACAAAGCCCUGUUAUUGUGAGAACAGACCAAGAGAAGCUCCUGGCUCAGCUUGAAGAGGAGCUGGAGCAGAUCAGAGAGCUAGUCCAAGUGCAGCAACAGCUCCUAGAGGACAACGUAGUUCCUCCUCUUCCUGAUGUUCUGAUUGGCUCUUAUUAUCUAGAGGAGUGGGAGCAGCUUCAGGACAUGUGGGUGGAGCUUAACCAUCAGAGGCGUAGCUUCCAGCAAGAGAGGCAGGCUUUCACCGAUGCUGCAAUCCGACUGGGCCGUGAGAGGUGUGAGUUUGAGCAGCAGAAGGCCUCUCUCCUGAAGCAACAGUUCCUCUGUGAAUCUCCAGUAAGAAAGACCUCCCAUUCCAUCAAGGCAGUGGGAACACCAGACAAUGACGUACACACAGGCAAACAAGAUCCUGACGAGUAA
Molecule: long non-coding RNA, 462 nt
Organism: Electrophorus electricus (electric eel)
Lineage: Eukaryota; Metazoa; Chordata; Actinopteri; Gymnotiformes; Gymnotidae
Source: Ensembl